RNAcentral lists this small RNA (94 nucleotides) under Klebsiella pneumoniae. Its description in RNAcentral is "partial RtT sRNA". It matches the Rfam family "RtT RNA", at positions 38 to 130 of the family's 130-position model. From Rfam's summary of the family: This family represents a bacterial cis-regulatory element known as RtT RNA. The record is from RNAcentral. Lineage: Bacteria; Pseudomonadati; Pseudomonadota; Gammaproteobacteria; Enterobacterales; Enterobacteriaceae.
AAGGUUCGACUCGAGCGAAGCGAGAGAACGUUGCCGCAGGCAAUGGCCCGAAGGCAAGGCGCUUUAGCGCCGAGUAAUCCUUCCCCCACCACUG